RNAcentral lists this ribosomal RNA (496 nucleotides) under uncultured bacterium. RNAcentral's name for it is "partial 16S ribosomal RNA". It matches the Rfam family "Bacterial small subunit ribosomal RNA", at positions 30 to 523 of the family's 1533-position model. The record is from RNAcentral.
AUUGAACGCUGGCGGAAUGCUUUACACAUGCAAGUCGAACGGUAGAGGGGGCAACCCCUCGAGAGUGGCGAACGGGUGAGUAAUAUAUCGGAACGUGCCCAGUCGUGGGGGAUAACGUAGCGAAAGUUACGCUAAUACCGCAUACGAUCUAAGGAUGAAAGCGGGGGAUCGCAAGACCUAGCGCGAUUGGAGCGGCCGAUAUCAGAUUAGGCAGUUGGUGGGGUAAAGGCUCACCAAGCCAACGAUCUGUAGAUGGUCUGAGAGGACGACCAGCCACACUGGAACUGAGACACGGUCCAGACUCCUACGGGAGGCAGCAGUGGGGAAUUUUGGACAAUGGACGCAAGUCUGAUCCAGCCAUUCCGCGUGCAGGAUGAAGGCCCUCGGGUUGUAAACUGCUUUUGUACGGAACGAAAAGGUCUCUCUUAAUACGGGGGGCUCAUGACGGUACCGUAAGAAUAAGCACCGGCUAACUACGUGCCAGCCGCCGCCGUAA